GUGAAUCAUCGAAUCUUUGAACGCAAAUUGCACUCUCCUCGGAGAGUAUGCCUGUUUGAGGGUCAGCCUAAAAAAAAAAAUCGACAUCGUUGCUGUUUCGCGGUGACGUUAUUCGGAAAUUGGGUAAUUUUAAACCUUUUGGUUUUUAAGGGAUUUAAAAUUUUUUUUUGACCCCAUGAACGUUUCUAAUUUUUAUAUCUUUACACGUUUAAGGGUAUCGAUUUUAUUAGAAGGAGCCGUAAUAA
This 245-nucleotide unclassified non-coding RNA is filed under the name Glomus sp. Its description in RNAcentral is "partial contains 5.8S ribosomal RNA and internal transcribed spacer 2". The stretch from base 1 to 65 matches the Rfam family "5.8S ribosomal RNA", at positions 84 to 154 of the family's 154-position model. The record is from RNAcentral. Lineage: Eukaryota; Fungi; Glomeromycota; Glomeromycetes; Glomerales; Glomeraceae.